GUGAUCAACAAGACGCAAUUAAGGUUUACUCAUUAAUAGGAUAAAUGAGUUUACUUUUCACAUUAGCUUGAUGUCCAUUAUUUUUUCCUUUGUAGCAACAAGAAACAGGAUUACAUUUUCUCAAGGUUCAAGCUGAUGAUUUAACUUUUUGGAGUGUUUCAGUUUUACACAUUGAAUGAGUUCCUUUUAUGGAAUCUGGAUAUCUAUAAUGCUUUUGUUGAUUUCUUAAACAGUCUCCUUCUUAGUUGCUUAACUGUCAUUUAGGCAUUACAGUUCUGCUCUCCCAGAAC
Molecule: unclassified non-coding RNA, 290 nt
Filed under: Hevea brasiliensis (rubber tree)
Lineage: Eukaryota; Viridiplantae; Streptophyta; Magnoliopsida; Malpighiales; Euphorbiaceae
Source: RNAcentral